Molecule: long non-coding RNA, 299 nt
Filed under: Gossypium barbadense (sea-island cotton)
Lineage: Eukaryota; Viridiplantae; Streptophyta; Magnoliopsida; Malvales; Malvaceae
Description: long non-coding RNA (GBAR_LNC007490)
Source: RNAcentral
UUAUGGUGAAUUAUUAUGGAUUUGAAGUUCUUAUUUUAUUAUAUGAUGAUUUUAUUAAGUGAUUUUGAUAGAAAUUAAUUUUAAGACCUAAUUGUAAAAAAGUUGUGAAUUAAGGUUUGGUACUGAAAUUAUGAUUUUCAAAGGUUAUUUAGUAGCUUAUAAUGAAUAAAUAAAGUGUUAAUUGAGAAAAAUUAGCUCAAUUGAUGGGUUAAUUGAGUAGGGACUAAAUUGUAAAAACUAUAAAAUUUAGGGCAAAAGUGUAAUUUUAGGAAUUAAAGGGUAUAAACUGUAAAGUAGAG